CCUACGGGAGGCAGCAGUGAGGAAUAUUGGUCAAUGGCCGUAAGGCUGAACCAGCCAAGUCGCGUGAAGGAAGAAGGAUCUAUGGUUUGUAAACUUCUUUUAUAGGGGAAUAAAGGUAUCCACGUGUGGCUAUUUGCAUGUACCCGAUGAAUAAGCAUCGGCUAACUCCGUGCCAGCAGCAGCGGUAAUACGGAGGAUGUGAGCGUUAUCCGGAUUUAUUGGGUUUAAAGGGUGCGUAGGUUGUUUUUUAAGUCAGCGGUGAAAGUUUGUGGCUCAACCAUAAAAUUGCCGUUGAAACUGGAAGACUUGAGUGUGUUUGAGGUAGGCGGAAUGCGUGGUGUAGCGGUGAAAUGCAUAGAUAUCACGCAGAACUCCGAUUGCGAAGGCAGCUUACUACGCCAUAACUGACACUGAAGCACGAAAGCGUGGGGAUCAAACAGGAUUAGAUACCCUAGUAGUC
This 460-nucleotide ribosomal RNA is filed under the name uncultured bacterium. RNAcentral describes it as "partial 16S ribosomal RNA". It matches the Rfam family "Bacterial small subunit ribosomal RNA", at positions 338 to 795 of the family's 1533-position model. The record is from RNAcentral.